This 229-nucleotide ribosomal RNA is filed under the name uncultured bacterium. RNAcentral describes it as "partial 16S ribosomal RNA". It matches the Rfam family "Archaeal small subunit ribosomal RNA", at positions 518 to 747 of the family's 1478-position model. The record is from RNAcentral.
UCCGUAGCCGGCUUAGCAAGUCUCCUGUUAAAUUCAGCGACCUAAUCGUUGAGCCGCGGGAGAUACUACUAGGCUAGGAGGCGGGAGAGGUCGACGGUACUUCUGGGGUAGGGGUGAAAUCCUAUAAUCCCAGGAGGACCACCAGUGGCGAAGGCUGUCGACUAGAACGCGCUCGACGGUGAGGGACGAAAGCUGGGGGAGCGAACAGGAUUAGAUACCCUGGUAGUCC